UGUCUCCCAAUUGGUGAAUGCUUCCAGAUAAGAGAAUCCCCUAGCUUAGGGUUAGAAUGUGGCUCUAUCCCACAGCCCUUCAGAAGCAUCAACCAGACUAAUUGCGCUUCGGUUGCUUUGGGGCUGGUGCAAUUUCUUUAUUUCUUUAUUUGCUUUGUCAACAGAAGUUGUGUCUUCAGGCACCUCGUGGCCUGCAUUGCCGGCAGCCAGGGCUGGGGAAGGAGGAGGCCUGGACCAGGCGGAUGGAGCCAGGAGACGGAUGGAGCGAGAUGCCUGCGCGCCGGGCGCCUGUUACCUAGCAACCCGCCGAGAUCGCCCAAAAUGAAUAGACCCACAAACAAAAAUGAAAAGGAGAUAAAAAAGAGUAAAAGUCUAUGGGGCUCAAAGGUUAAUAUUCCUCUAUCUAAUAACUUAGUUUCAGAAAAUUGCGUUUUAACCUUUUCGAAGCAUUCAGGAGAGAGAUUUCUGUUAAAUUAAAUUAGAUCACAUUUGUAUGAAAUGGGGGGAGAGAAAUUAAAUGCAGAAUUUAUUAUUUUUUCCAUCUUCCUGCCCAGUAUUUUUGCAAUUCCUUGUAUUUUCUGUUGACUGCCACUGCUCCGCUCCCCUUCUGGCUCCGAUGCAGCCAGCGGGCUGGGGGGAACUAUUGGUGGCUGUGGGGGGCUGGCUGGUGUGAGGCACUCUGACAUUACUGGGGCUUUCAUAGAAUUUUCUCCAAGGGAGACAGAAGAUCUUCCUCAGUGCAGGAUAAUUAAACCUUGCAUCAUCUCCUCUGUAGCCCCCAUCCAUCUCGCACAGAGGAAGGAGCAGUGAGGGACACAUUGAAAUUCACAAAGCAAAAACCUGGUAGGAACAAGAGUGAGAUCUGGGACAUGUUUCUUGCUUGGAAAUCUUGCUGCUUCCUAUGAAAUUCCCAUUCUGCCAGAUACCAACAUCCACAACAGCCUUGGAGUGCCAGCCUCCAACCCGUGUAGACAUGGUCUGAAGUCUGCAACACAGCUGGGAGUGAUCAAAAACAGAGGAGCCUGUGGCAGACUACACUGAACUCUCAGGAGCCCCUCCCUUAGAAUCACAGAAUCGUUCAGGUUGCAAAAGACCUCUGAGAUCUGC
This 1107-nucleotide long non-coding RNA is filed under the name Phasianus colchicus (ring-necked pheasant). Its description in RNAcentral is "lncRNA (ENSPCLG00000005864.1)". The record is from RNAcentral. Lineage: Eukaryota; Metazoa; Chordata; Aves; Galliformes; Phasianidae.